RNAcentral lists this unclassified non-coding RNA (212 nucleotides) under Hevea brasiliensis (rubber tree). Lineage: Eukaryota; Viridiplantae; Streptophyta; Magnoliopsida; Malpighiales; Euphorbiaceae. The record is from RNAcentral.
AUGAAUACAUCUCCCAAAAUCCUGCAUCAUACCAGCAAUACUAAUAAGAUUUCAUUGUCAUGGUAUUCACAAGUGAAUUAGACAAAAUCCCCUAAUGAAUGUCACUCUUUUUCACGGUGCUACUAGCUAGCAAGCAAUACAAUUAUAUUAACCCGAUCCAGAAUAGUUUGGGUCAUUUGAGAAAAUGUCAUUUUGGUUUCGCUGUGUCCCGA